Molecule: small RNA, 407 nt
Filed under: Rahnella aquatilis CIP 78.65 = ATCC 33071
Lineage: Bacteria; Pseudomonadati; Pseudomonadota; Gammaproteobacteria; Enterobacterales; Yersiniaceae
Description: cspA thermoregulator
Rfam family: cspA thermoregulator
Source: Rfam by way of RNAcentral
GCCUUUUUCGCAGCAGAAAAAGGCAACAGAAAGCGAAGAGUGAGAGGUUUAUCGCUUAUUGCCAUCAGAAUUCUGGACAAAAGUGAAAUCUGUUGCUGUACUGUAUUUGACACACUUUUUGUGUCCAACAUUCACGUUAAAGGUAAGUUUGAUGUCUAAGAUUAAAGGUAGCGUUAAGUGGUUCAAUGAAUCUAAAGGUUUCGGUUUCAUUACCCCUGAAGAUGGCAGCAAAGAUGUUUUCGUUCAUUUCUCUGCUAUUUCCAGCAACGGUUUCAAAACCCUUGCUGAAGGCCAACGCGUAGAGUUCGAAAUCACCAAUGGUGCCAAAGGCCCGUCGGCUGCUAACGUUAUCGCUAUCUGACUUUAGCCGAUUGAUUGAAAAAACCCGCCGAAGCGGGUUUUUUUUU